Molecule: ribosomal RNA, 877 nt
Filed under: Salmonella enterica
Lineage: Bacteria; Pseudomonadati; Pseudomonadota; Gammaproteobacteria; Enterobacterales; Enterobacteriaceae
Also listed under: 1 other name
Description: partial 23S ribosomal RNA
Rfam family: Bacterial large subunit ribosomal RNA
Source: RNAcentral
UGAAGAUGCAGUGUACCCGCGGCAAGACGGAAAGACCCCGUGAACCUUUACUAUAGCUUGACACUGAACAUUGAGCCUUGAUGUGUAGGAUAGGUGGGAGGCUUUGAAGUGUGGACGCCAGUCUGCAUGGAGCCGACCUUGAAAUACCACCCUUUAAUGUUUGAUGUUCUAACGUGGACCCGUGAUCCGGGUUGCGGACAGUGUCUGGUGGGUAGUUUGACUGGGGCGGUCUCCUCCUAAAGAGUAACGGAGGAGCACGAAGGUUGGCUAAUCCUGGUCGGACAUCAGGAGGUUAGUGCAAUGGCAUAAGCCAGCUUGACUGCGAGCGUGACGGCGCGAGCAGGUGCGAAAGCAGGUCAUAGUGAUCCGGUGGUUCUGAAUGGAAGGGCCAUCGCUCAACGGAUAAAAGGUACUCCGGGGAUAACAGGCUGAUACCGCCCAAGAGUUCAUAUCGACGGCGGUGUUUGGCACCUCGAUGUCGGCUCAUCACAUCCUGGGGCUGAAGUAGGUCCCAAGGGUAUGGCUGUUCGCCAUUUAAAGUGGUACGCGAGCUGGGUUUAGAACGUCGUGAGACAGUUCGGUCCCUAUCUGCCGUGGGCGCUGGAGAACUGAGGGGGGCUGCUCCUAGUACGAGAGGACCGGAGUGGACGCAUCACUGGUGUUCGGGUUGUCAUGCCAAUGGCACUGCCCGGUAGCUAAAUGCGGAAGAGAUAAGUGCUGAAAGCAUCUAAGCACGAAACUUGCCCCGAGAUGAGUUCUCCCUGAGACUUAGAGUCUCCUGAAGGAACGUUGAAGACGACGACGUUGAUAGGCCGGGUGUGUAAGCGCAGCGAUGCGUUGAGCUAACCGGUACUAAUGAACCGUGAGGCUUAACCUU